GUGGGGAAUCUUGGACAAUGGAGGAAACUCUGAUCCAGCCAUGCCGCGUGAGUGAUGAAGGCCUUCGGGUUGUAAAACUCUUUCGGCGGGGACGAUAAUGACGGUACCCGCAGAAGAAGCUCCGGCUAACUUCGUGCCAGCAGCCGCGGUAAUACGAAGGGGGCUAGCGUUGUUCGGAAUUACUGGGCGUAAAGCGCGCGCAGGCGGCUUUUCAAGUCAGGGGUGAAAGCCCAGAGCUCAACUCUGGAAUUGCCUUUGAAACUGUAAGGCUGGAGUACGGGAGAGGUGAGUGGAAUUCCCAGUGUAGAGGUGAAAUUCGUAGAUAUUGGGAAGAACACCGGUGGCGAAGGCGGCUCACUGGCCCGUUACUGACGCUCAGGCGCGACAGCGUGGGGAUCAAACAGG
RNAcentral lists this ribosomal RNA (405 nucleotides) under uncultured Micropepsaceae bacterium. Its description in RNAcentral is "bacterial SSU rRNA". It matches the Rfam family "Bacterial small subunit ribosomal RNA", at positions 354 to 776 of the family's 1533-position model. The record is from RNAcentral. Lineage: Bacteria; Pseudomonadati; Pseudomonadota; Alphaproteobacteria; Micropepsales; Micropepsaceae.